GACGAACGCUGGCGGCGUGCUUAACACAUGCAAGUCGAACGGAAAGGCCCUGUUUUUGUGGGGUGCUCGAGUGGCGAACGGGUGAGUAACACGUGAGUAACCUGCCCCUGACUUUGGGAUAACUUCAGGUAACUGGGGCUAAUACCGUAUAGGACUUCCUCCUGCAUGGUGGGGGUUGGAAAGUGCGGGUGGGUGGGGAUGGACUCCCGGCUUAUCUGCUUGUUGGUGGGUGAGUGGCUUACCAAGGCUUUGAUGGGCAGCCGGCCUGAGGGGGUGACCGGCCACAUUGGGCCUAGGAUAGGGCCAAGACUCCACGGGGGGGAAGCGGGGGGAAGUAUGGCACAAGGGGGGGAAGCUGGAGGAAGCAACGCCGGGUGCGGAAUACCGGCCUUCGGGUUGAAAACGGCUUUAGCAUGUGACGAGGCGUGAGUGACGGUAAUGGGUGAAGAAGCACCGGCUAACUACGUG
RNAcentral lists this ribosomal RNA (468 nucleotides) under uncultured bacterium. RNAcentral's name for it is "partial 16S ribosomal RNA". It matches the Rfam family "Bacterial small subunit ribosomal RNA", at positions 28 to 507 of the family's 1533-position model. The record is from RNAcentral.